UGUAGGCAUGGGUGUUUG
This 18-nucleotide microRNA is filed under the name Caenorhabditis elegans. RNAcentral's name for it is "cel-miR-272". Its record names the gene cel-miR-272. Lineage: Eukaryota; Metazoa; Nematoda; Chromadorea; Rhabditida; Rhabditidae. The record is from miRBase by way of RNAcentral.